GUAGGGUUGAAGAAAUCUAAAUCCACUUAUCUAUAAAAAUGACUUUGAGAAAAAUGUUACAAUGUGACUCCACCUUUCAUGAUAAAAAGUUCCUCUCCUCUAACCAAUUUGCACUUUGCAAAGAAGAGCUGAAGCCUAGAUAGAAGCAAUUUUUUGUUCUCUUUAAGCAACCACUUUUAUCCAUUAGUUACUUCUCUAUCACUUCUAAGUUCCUGAGCUGGUCACAUUGUUAGCACAUACCAAACAGGGCCAGAAUAAUCUAGAUUCAUUCCAAAAAUGAAGUUUGGCAAGGAAUUCACGGCACAAAUGGUACCCGAAUGGCAAGAAGCUUACAUGGAUUAUGGCAACCUGAAAUCCCUUUUGAAACAAAUCCUUCAUCACAGGCAGAGAAAGAAGCCACAUUCAAGUGCCACCCCAACAGGUCUAAAGCGAAAGUUAUCACUUCACAGAGCUUUCAGUGGCCUCACACAGAGGCACUACCAACCCUUGAGCCCUUCUGAGCAGGACAUUGAGAACCAACCCAUUUUGGUGCACUCGGUGCUGCGAGAUGGCCAUGAAAAAUACGAGACCACUUUUCUCAUGGCCGCAGAAGAAGAUGGAGAGUACGAGUUGGUGUACUUUAGGAGGCUCGAUGAUGAGUUCAACAAAGUGGACAAGUUCUACAGGUCCAAAGUUGAAGAGGUGAUGAAGGAAGCGGUUGAGUUGAACAAACAAAUGGAUGCUUUGGUGGCUUUCAGGGUGAAAGUUGAGAUUCCAAGUGAGGCUUUUGAUAGCUCAGUUGAGAUGACUCGUCUGGCUUCUGAUGUGUCUGUUUCGACCGCAGCAUUGCAUGCUUCUACACCCAGAGGGGUCCAUUUGAACCGAAGAGUUUCCACGGUAAUUGAAGGUAUCAAAGAGGAAGGAAGUACCCACCAUGGACAAUUAGAGGAAUCUGGCGAUGACAUAGGUGAAGAGAUUCAAACUACCAACAAAAGAGUUGAAGUGCAGAGCACAAAGAAGAAUAUCAAACCCAUCAAGUCCAUCAAACCUGCUUCUGUGGAAAUACUUAAUCGAGUGCAACUAAAUAACACUUAUGAGACUCCUCGUUCAACUAUAGGAGGCUUCAUCAACUACCCUGGCCAAAAAGAGUUAAAUUUCACCAAGGAAAAUUUGAGCAAAGUUGAAGAAACACUCAAACUGGCUUUUAUUGAGUUCUAUCACAAGCUUCGACUUCUAAAGAACUACAACUUUCUAAACGUAUUGGCAUUUUCAAAGAUAAUGAAAAAAUAUGACAAGAUUACAUCAAGAGGUGCAGCAAAAGCCUACAUGAAAAUGGUUGAUAAGUCCUACCUUGGGAGCUCCGAUGAGGUAACCAAGCUUAUGGAGAGGGUGGAGAAAGUAUUCAUUAAGCACUUUUCCAACUCAAAUCGAAAUAAAGGAAUGAGCAUCCUGCGACCAAAACCAAAGAGAGAAAGGCAUAGGAUUACAUUUUCUAUGGGUUUUUCUGCUGGAUGCACUGCUGCUCUAACAUUGGCCCUUAUUCUAAUUGUCCGUACCCGUAAAAUCAUGGAUCAUUCAGGAAGUACCCAAUACAUGGAAAUCAUGUUUCCUCUUUACAGUUUAUUUGGAUUUGUAGUUUUACACAUGCUGAUGUAUGCUGCUAAUAUAUACUUCUGGAGGCGAUACAGAGUGAAUUACUCAUUCAUAUUUGGUUUUAAGCAAGGCACUGACUUAGGCUAUCAUCAAGUCCUGCUCCUUAGUUUUCUCCUGGCAGCAUUGGCACUAGCCAGCGUGCUUGCAAAUCUUGACAUGCAAAUAGAUCCAGAGACAAAAGAUUACAAAACAUUCACUGAACUUUUGCCACUUCUCCUGGUUAUAAUUGUGAUUGCCAUUUUAUUAUGCCCAUUAAACAUUGUAUAUCGAUCAAGCCGAAUAUUCUUCCUCACAUGUCUGCUUCACUGCAUCUGUGCUCCUCUUUACAAGGUCUCACUGCCAGAUUUCUUCAUGGCCGAUCAAUUUACCAGCCAGGGUCAAGCCUUGAGAAGUUUUGAGUUCUAUAUAUGCUACUACGGCUGGGGUGACUUCAAACACAGAGAAAGUACUUGCAAGUCAAGCAGGAUAUUCAUAGCCUUUUCAUUCAUUGUUGUUGUGAUUCCAUACUGGUGUCGCUUUCUUCAGUGCCUAAGGCGUCUGUUUGAGGAGAAAGAUAAAAUGCAAGGAUAUAACGGGUUGAAAUAUUUCCUCACUAUUGCAGCUGUUUGCCUAAGAACAGCUUAUACUCUUGAUAAAGGAACGGGUUGGGAAGUCCUGGCCUGGAUUUUCUCAGUAUCUACAGCCAUUUUUUCCACAUAUUGGGACCUUGUCAUUGAUUGGGGUCUCCUCCAAAAACAAUCCAAGAACCGCUGGCUGAGAGACAAACUCCUAAUCCCUCAGAAAAGUGUAUAUUUCGCAGCUAUGGUGCUGAACGUGUUGUUAAGGUUUGCAUGGUUACAGACAAUAUUGAAUUUAAAUUUCUCGUUCUUGCAUAGAGAAGCCAUGAUCAGCAUCAUUGCCAGCUUAGAGAUCAUUCGCCGUGGCAUGUGGAACUUCUUCAGGGUGGAGAAUGAGCAUCUGAACAACGUGGGCAAGUACCGUGCGUUCAAGUCCGUGCCAUUGCCCUUCAACUACGAGGAAGGCGAAGAAGACAAGGACGAGUGAUGGGUGAAACUAUGAUCUCUCUCUCCAUCACCAUGACCAUGACCAUGACCAUGACCAUGACCAUGACCAUGACCAUCACAUUUCGACGUGUAUGAAACUUUAGCUCUACAAGUUAAGGAACUCAGAGAGUUAAGUUGCUUUGAGGAUCGUAAUAGCCGUGCAAUGUGAUGUAUUCAUUAUAUGAUCACUCUUGAUGAGCAUUACUUACCUCUACCCUCUUCCAAGUGAGAAUUUCUAUUGUAAUACUGGUAUGUCUUAACAGUUUCAAUUGUUAGCUUUUAUAAGGAAAACUUUGUUAAUCAUUGUGGAAUGCCAUCAUUUCAUGUGCAGCUGGCCCUUUGGAAGUGGAUUAAUGUAUGUUAAUCAUUUUGGAAUGCCCUCAAUUUAACUUUUAUCAGUAUGUUUAUUGCUCAUCUACAAAUUAGGUUCUGGUAUGAUUUUCUGUAGCAUAUAUGGAAUUUGUAGGUGACUCUGAACUCAUAAAGGUGUUUGGGAAAACAACAAAUUUGGUAAACAAUUAAUUAGUUAAUUAUCAAUGUGAUCUACUUCUAUACCAUUUUACUACUAUACUACGAAUGUACUAGAAAAAUUGAGGUGUCUUUUGGACAGGUUCGUGGGAAUGAAUCAUUCUACUUUAAUUUCUUUUGCUACUUUAAUUUCUUUUGCCACUAAGACACUUAAUGCUAGCCAAAUUAUAUUCAA
Non-coding RNA from Cajanus cajan (pigeon pea), 3378 nucleotides. Lineage: Eukaryota; Viridiplantae; Streptophyta; Magnoliopsida; Fabales; Fabaceae. The record is from RefSeq and is a predicted model, not a curated record.